This is a long non-coding RNA of Nerophis ophidion (straightnose pipefish), 1104 nucleotides long. RefSeq lists it as uncharacterized. Lineage: Eukaryota; Metazoa; Chordata; Actinopteri; Syngnathiformes; Syngnathidae. The transcript has 6 exons. The record is from RefSeq and is a predicted model, not a curated record.
AUAAUUGCUUUAAAUGUGCCUGAAAUGUAGGUUUUUGCAUAAAAAAAAAAAACCUUCAACCUUGAUUGAGACAAAGGCAAUAAUUCAAAUGCAACUCAAACUACACACAGUAUUUAAUAUUUUCAAAUGGUUACAAUAGCACAUUAUUUGGGUAUUUUUAUCUUUGGGGCAAAUUUAGGAUUAAUAUGGGGAUUGUUUUUGGAGGUAUUCACUUUACAUGGUGUUCAAGAUGGUUACUUCCGCCCACUCUGAAGAGUCUCGGCGUCUGAUUGGUCCAAUUUUCAGUUAGGCGCCGCCUGAUUGGCCGCUGGACGAUGUCUGCUCCUAACAGAGGGCUAAAUCACUAGUUAACUAUUUUCAUCAUGGAAGUUAUACAGCUCAUGUAUCACACUUAAUAUUGAAUAUAUAUAUAAAAAGGGUUUUCCAAAAGGACCAUUUAUAAUCGAAAUACAAAACUUCACACACGAUUUUGAGCACAACAGAGCGCUCAGUGAACAUCACUUCCGGGACCUGCAUCACCGGAGGGGGACAUCUAUCUUGGCCACAAACCAUCUUUGACAGUCUUCAGCAGCAUGGUUGAAUCAGGCGCAUCAACACAUGAUAUAGACAUCGUGUCCAAAAGAAGAGCGAGACGUAAUCCUGAGGCUGAAGCCACCGAGUUUAUUUGAUCUGGAUGUGACAAGUCUUGUUUUAAGGCCCAGUGGAUCAAUGAUUGGAAAGACACCAACUGUUGAUGUUCUAUCUCAACAUUCUCUAGAUUCAUGUGAGCGAUAAACCGACUUCAUCCCUCCAACAGACACCAACUGUUGGGGUUCUAUCUCAACAUUCUCCAGAUUCAGAUGUGAGCGAUAAACCGACUUCAUCCCUCCAACAGAAACCAACUGUUGAGGUUCCAUCUCAACAUUCUCCGGAUUCAGAUGUGAGCCAUUAACUGACUUCAUCCCUCCAACAGAAACCAACUGUUUGAGGUUCUAUCUCAACAUUCUCUAGAUUCAGAUGACAGCCAUAAACCGACUUCAUCCCUCCAACAGGUUAUUACAUGUCUAUUUUUACUAUAUCUGCUCUAAAUUUGACCCAACCUAUAUUUUGAAAGACAUUUAUUAA